GUCUCUGUUUGUCGGUGCUACGAGAAAAAAUUAAUCACCGAUUAAAAGUUACUUAACGAAGAAGCCCGGAUACUAAAAGAAGCAUUGGAGCUGUUUUUUGUCGAACAUGAGUGACGCUGAACGCUAAACACACCCGCAGCGCGAAGGUCUACUUGUUCAGCCUCUGCAGCUUGGACAGAGACACAAACAUCACCUUCCAGACCAACAGGUGUCACUAUUUCAUCCACAACAUUGUUGCAGAGACAUCGUCCACGAUCGCAGAGACAUGGUCCAUGAUCGGAGAGACAUUGUUGAGGAUGAGGGAGACAUCGUCCACGAUCAGAGACGUUGUCCACGAUUGCAGAGACCUUGUCAAAGAUGAGAGAGACGUUGUCCAUGAUCAGAGACAUUGUCCCAUGCUUCGUAGAGACCUUGCGAUAGAAUCGGCGGAGACGGGGGUCACCGAUUUGACGGCACUGCCCGCGAUCAUGGAGACAUUGUUGAUGUUCACAGAGACACCGUCUAUGAUCUCAGAGACAUCGUCCACAAUCACAAAGACAUUGUCCAUGAUCACAGAGACUUUGUCCAUAAUCUCAGAGACAUUGUCCGCGAUCACAGAGACGCAGUCCACGAUCACAGAGAGCUAUCGUACAAUGAAGAAGUUCUUUGAGACCAGGACAGAGGCCUCCACGUAAUUCACAAACAGUGUCACCACUUUGUCCACGACAUCGUCCACGAUCGCAGAGACAUGGUCCAUGAUCGGAGAGACAUUGUUGAGGAUGAGGGAGACAUCGUCCACGAUCAGAGACGUUGUCCACGAUUGCAGAGACCUUGUCAAAGAUGAGAGAGACGUUGUCCAUGAUCAGAGACAUUGUCCCAUGCUUCGUAGAGACCUUGCGAUAGAAUCGGCGGAGACGGGGGUCACCGAUUUGACGGCACUGCCCGCGAUCAUGGAGACAUUGUUGAUGUUCACAGAGACACCGUCUAUGAUCUCAGAGACAUCGUCCACAAUUACAAAGACAUUGUCCAUGAUCACAGAGACUUUGUCCAUAAUCUCAGAGACAUUGUCCGCGAUCACAGAGACGCAGUCCACGAUCAGAGAGCUGUCGUGCAAUGAGGAAAUUCUUUGAGACCAGGACAGAGGCCUUCAGGUGUCACUAUUUCAUCCACAACAUCGUCCACAAUCGCAGAGACAUCGUCCACGAUCGCAGGGACAUGGUCCAUGAUCGGAGAGACAUUGUUGAGGAUGAGGGAGACAUCGUCCACGAUCAGAGACAUUGUCCAUGAUCGCAGAGACCUUGUCAAAGAUGAGAGAGACGUUGUCCUUGAUCAGAGACAUUGUCCCAUGCUUCGUAGAGACCUUGCGAUAGAAUCAGCGGAGACGGGGGUCACCGAUUUGACGGCACUGCCCGCGAUCAUGGAGAUAUUGUUGAUGUUCACAGAGACACCGUCUAUGAUCUCAGAGACAUCGUCCACAAUCACAAAGACAUUGUCUGUGAUCACAGAGACUUUGUCCAUAAUCUCAGAGACAUUGUCCGCGAUCACAGAGACGCAGUCCACGAUCACAGAGAGUCUUUGUACAAUGAAGAAGUUCUUUGAGACCAGGACAGAGGCCUCCAGGUAAUUCACAAACAGUGUCACCACUUUGUCCACGACAUCGUCCACGAUCGCAGAGACAUGGUCCAUGAUCGGAGAGACAUUGUUGAGGAUGAGGGAGACAUCGUCCACGAUCAGAGACGUUGUCCACGAUUGCAGAGACCUUGUCAAAGAUGAGAGAGACGUUGUCCUUGAUCAGAGACAUUGUCCCAUGCUUCGUAGAGACCUUGCGAUAGAAUCGGCGGAGACGGGGGUCACCGAUUUGACGGCACUGCCCGCGAUCAUGGAGACAUUGUUGAUGUUCACAGAGACACCGUCUAUGAUCUCAGAGACAUCGUCCACAAUCACAAAGACAUUGUCCAUGAUCACAGAGACUUUGUCCAUAAUCUCAGAGACAUUGUCCGCGAUCACAGAGACGCAGUCCACGAUCACAGAGAGCUAUCGUACAAUGAAGAAGUUCUUUGAGACCAGGACAGAGGCCUCCACGUAAUUCACAAACAGUGUCACCACUUUGUCCACGACAUCGUCCACGAUCGCAGAGACAUGGUCCAUGAUCGGAGAGACAUUGUUGAGGAUGAGGGAGACAUCGUCCACGAUCAGAGACGUUGUCCACGAUUGCAGAGACCUUGUCAAAGAUGAGAGAGACGUUGUCCUUGAUCAGAGACAUUGUCCCAUGCUUCGUAGAGACCUUGCGA
Long non-coding RNA from Lates calcarifer (barramundi perch), 2270 nucleotides. RefSeq lists it as uncharacterized. The record is from RefSeq and is a predicted model, not a curated record. The transcript has 7 exons. Lineage: Eukaryota; Metazoa; Chordata; Actinopteri; Centropomidae.